CAUGAUCAUACUAUGAUAUAAAUCCUACUCCACCCCUACCAUCACUUCAUUCAUACUCACUGUACUAUUGAGUAAACUACAAUUUGAAAGGACCAAUUCAUUGCUCCACUUUAAUUUACAAAACAAAAAGAUGAACAGCAAGAUGCGUGGUGUUGGUAUGUCUCGCCAUAACAAGACAUUUGGUAGGAUAACGUGACUUGUAAUGUGCAGUAGUUUUAUCAUUUCUCACUAUCCUUCAACCUUUCAUUUUUGUUACUGUGCCAUUGUUUAUCCGAACUCCUAAACUCUCCUUCAUUCUCUUCUGCAAAAUUCACCGAACUCCUAAACUUUCCUUCAUUCUCCUCUGCAAAUUCUACUGACACCCCCCUUUAAAAAACCCUGCUGAAGAAGACUGUUAGGUCGAAACGCGUACAGGGUUGCCUUUCCUUUUCUCUCCUUUAUCUCUCGACUUAUCGUUUCCAAUUAACCAAUUCACCCCUCCUUCAGUUUCUAUAAUCCUU
Paramuricea clavata is the source of this 500-nucleotide non-coding RNA. The record is from the annotation of a GenBank genome assembly. NCBI's taxonomy places the organism in Eukaryota, Metazoa, Cnidaria, Anthozoa, Malacalcyonacea, Plexauridae.